UUAAUUGUCAAAUGCUACCUAUUCUGUUACUCUCAGGAGAUUCUGGCUGCUUCAGGCUGCUCUGUGUUCAAAGGAUUUCCUAGACUCAGAGCUACGGAUGACGGAAAAUCACAAUGCUGAUCCCUGCCCCCCACAAUGAUUUGGAUGCCUCUGGUUACAGAACGCUUAAAUGGCCAUGGGAAGGAAGCACAAACAGUGAGGUGGCAACUCAGAGCCUCAGUGACACGGAGACCGAGAAUGACUUCUCUAUCCUUCUCCUGGCUUUGUCCUUUGCCUCCUAAGUGACUGCCGCAGACUGGAGCAUCCUUUCCUCUCACAGCCUCCAAGGGAAGAAGGCAGAUUCUGCUCAGCUAACAGCAAGCUCCGACAAAUGUUUCUUGAAAGGAUGGAAGGGAAAGAAGAAGGACUGGGCAGGAAGAGAACCAAAGGGGUGAAUGGAACUUCAGAACUUGGGCUCGAUUUCCAGGCAGGACAAACAGCCGCGCAGACGACUGAGUGGGAGUGAUGAGUCUGCAGUCACCAGAAGAACCAGAAGCUUAGUUCUGUCUGCAAAGAGAAGCCCAGUGUGUCUGUAGCUGUCAGAGCCUGGUGCAGGCCUGUGCGGUGGAUACAAUAGAAGUUAGUGUCGGGUGGGGUCUUUACAGGUCCCAUGAGUUCAAUCUUCCCCCAAGGAAAUCACAAGCCAGGGAAUGUCUUUGUCUCCUGUCUUGCCCUUCUCCAAAGCUGUCCUGAUGCCCAGAGAACCACGCUUGGUGUGCUGCAGCCCUUACUUGGUUCUUUAUUCCUUCCCCAGACCCUUCCCCUCAGCAGGAGAGCCCCCACCCUACGAAGGAUGCCCACCAUCUCUGCCCUACAGCCCCUUCAGUGCCCCUGCUCUGUGUCUUCGGUUGUAGCUACCAGGCGUCUGGACAAACAAGCACCAGUCUGUUCCCCUGUGUGAGCCUUGCAUCCACCCAGGAGCCGUCCCUGUGCUGCCGAAGGCAGGCGGGGAAGAAGCAGAACCACUCUGACUGGUCGGCCUCACCCAACAUUCAUUCUCUCACACCUACAAGGACACGGGGAGUCUGGCUGUCCUGCUGAUUCAGCCCCUCCAGCGCCACGCCCCCACUCCCGGCUGAACACUUUGCUUCCACCAUUCUCAGGAGAUGGUCUCCUGCCUCAGGCUCUGGCUUCCCAACAUUGUUGUAGGGGUCCAUGGGUCUGCCACCUACCUCCUGCUCUCUCCUUCCCUGUGUGUAAACAGUCCUGGAGAAGCUGCCUUGCCCAGCUGCAGGGCCUGGGUCAGGUUCAGCAUUGCCCUCUGGUCAGUUUCUCCCCUGCUCUGACUUAAACCCACCUGCAUCAAGCCCCACCCCCAGAGCCCUCAACACUCAUCACCAGCAUCCUCCGUGGUAAUAACUCCAGUGUGUGGUGUGUGUGUGUGUGUGUGUGUGUGUGUGAACACAUGUGGACGCACACCAUAGUACACGUGUGGAGAUCA
This is a long non-coding RNA of Onychomys torridus (southern grasshopper mouse), 1480 nucleotides long. RefSeq lists it as uncharacterized. The transcript has 4 exons. The record is from RefSeq and is a predicted model, not a curated record. Lineage: Eukaryota; Metazoa; Chordata; Mammalia; Rodentia; Cricetidae.